AUUGAACGCUGGCGGCAGGCUUAACACAUGCAAGUCGAGCGGGGGAAGGUAGCUUGCUACCGGACCUAGCGGCGGACGGGUGAGUAAUGCUUAGGAAUCUGCCUAUUAGUGGGGGACAACAUCUCGAAAGGGAUGCUAAUACCGCAUACGUCCUACGGGGGAAAGCAGGGGAUCUUCGGACCUUACGCUAAUAGAUGAGCCUAAGUCGGAUUAGCUAGUUGGUGGGGUAAAGGCCUACCAAGGCGACGAUCUGUAGCGGGUCUGAGAGGAUGAUCCGCCACACUGGGACUGAGACACGGCCCAGACUCCUACGGGAGGCAGCAGUGGGGAAUAUUGGACAAUGGGGGGAACCCUGAUCCAGCCAUGCCGCGUGUGUGAAGAAGGCCUUAUGGUUGUAAAGCACUUUAAGCGAGGAGGAGGCUACUCUAGUUAAUACCUAGGGAUAGUGGACGUUACUUGCAGAAUAAGCACCGGCUAACUCUGUGCCAGCAGCCGCCGUAA
Molecule: ribosomal RNA, 501 nt
Filed under: uncultured bacterium
Lineage: Bacteria
Description: partial 16S ribosomal RNA
Rfam family: Bacterial small subunit ribosomal RNA
Source: RNAcentral